RNAcentral lists this long non-coding RNA (1601 nucleotides) under Triticum aestivum (bread wheat). RNAcentral describes it as "long non-coding RNA (TAES_LNC026246)". The record is from RNAcentral. Lineage: Eukaryota; Viridiplantae; Streptophyta; Magnoliopsida; Poales; Poaceae.
AUUGGCAGCGCUUUAGCAUGAACCCAACAAGGAAACAAAAAAAAUUCACAACACAAAGUAUUUCUAGUUUUUCCACUGUCUCUUGCCAAUGGCAAACUUACAUUUUAUUCCAUCCGGUUCUAAAAGGAAUUGACAACACAGAGUAUUUCUAGUUUUUCCAGUGUCCAGUCUACUGUAUAUGUCCAAUAUAUGGGUAAAAUAUCAAACAUCGACUCGACACGACAGGCCGCCCCCCUCCCUCUCCGAGCUAAACAAAACAACGCUUCUGGACCCUCUGGCCUCAUCAUGAUGUACAAAUUACACAUCAAGUAAUAAACACAUGUACACACACACUAGUCUCAACAAGAAAAUUUUACCAUGCGGAAAAACGCAACAGGAAAAUUAACCCGCAGACACGUCUGCCCAUCAACCCGCGCAAACCGCUCCCAACUAGGAGGGGAAAGGGCGUGCCUUGCGACUCAAAACCAAAUACACCGCUCGCUCCUGUGCUGAUCAAGCAGCCGUUCACCGACAAGACCAUCUUGGGGGCAGACUCAUAUUGCCCCAACUUGUGCACACUGAAAAUCUGCGGUAUAUUCUAGCCUAGAAGGUCCUUGAAAAGAUUUGGGUUGUUCCCUGUUGGAGUCACGCCAACCUGCCUCGCGGUGGCGUCCUUCUGCAACGCAUCUUGAAGGCUAUGGCCCUUUUUUGUCGUUGCUCCUUUUUGUGCGGGUUCUGUGGAUGCACUGGUGGCGCCAGUUUGUACAUCAUCUGAGAAGAUGGACAUAAGGUCUGGUGUGUUGGAAGCGCUGGGAGCUGAGGUUCCAGAAAGCGCGGGAGAGGCUGAUGCUGGUCCAAGGAGCCCAUCUAACUGUGAGAAGGGGUCAGCAGAUGGAGCACUUGAUGAAACAGGCUCUUCACCCAGAUCCAACAGAUCUGGUGGUGGGGCAGCAGGGGUUACUUGCUCCUUAGCAGGCUGAGGUGUUACUUUCUCAGUCGAGGAACUCUCUUUUGCUGCCUUCCGACCAGCAUGUCCCUUGCGAUUAGGUUUAGCAGCUGAGGAACCAAAAAGUGAAGCAGCCAGCCGUUGCUUUUCUGCUGAAACUUCUGUUCCCUGCUGCUGACUCUUAGAACCAUACGAGGACUCCCUUGCCUGUGAAGUUACCAACCCUCCCCCGUCAGAGUUGGAACCCCCAUUGGCUGCUUGUUGGCUAGAGGUCGAGCUUGAAGGUGUAGAAGAGGAGGCAUAUGAUUCCCUUCCCCAUUUCUUUUGAACCCCAUCAAGACGAAGUUUGGCACCAAAUUCACCAGAAACUGCAUUGCCUGAUUGCUGGGACCUUGCCUGAUGAUGGUCUUCCCUAUAGUGACUUGGUUCUGGAACUGGAACAAGGUCAGUAGUCGGCAGGGAAACACUACUUUGUGAGGUUGCUGUAGGUAGUGAAGGUUUAGGUAGCUCAUAGGCUUCAAAUCUAAGAGCAUGAGCAGAUGUCUCAUGUUGGUCUUGGGCUCUGUAGUUACCAACACUUACAACGCCUGAGCGUUCACUUUCAGGAAUGUAAGGUGUCGCGCCAUUUUCCAAGGCUUGCUGCACAUAACUGUUCAGAAAUGUGAGGUUUUUAUCG